AGAAUUCUAUAUGUGUCUGCCUGGAAUCAGCGAGUAUACAGAUCUCCAUGCUGAUCACUUUGACUUACAGAACUUCCCUAAUGUGACCAAACAGAGAGUAGUGGAUUUCUUACAACUAAGUGACCAAAAGUUGAAUGAAAAAAUUGAACUUCUUUAUGCGCAGAGGUAUCUAAGAUAUGUGCGUGUAGUCAUAAAUGAUGUAUCAUAUAUAACUUCGAACGUUUGGGCAGAAAUGAAAAAAUCAACAAGCUACAAAGUGGACAUAAGUAUAGAUAGGAAUGCAGUGAUCGAGCAAACUCAGUGUGAAUGUGCAGUAGGACAAGGACCAUUGGCUCAUUGUAAGCAUGUGGGAAGUGUUUUAUUUGGUCUUGUGAAAUACUGCACAUCUGGUAGCAUUCUAACAGAAGUAACAUGCACACAGGUUUUACAAAAAUUUCACAAAAGUAAGCCCAUGAAAGGUAGUCCAUUGAAAACAAGGAACCUGAGUGGAAUCAGAGGAAAUGUGAAGCCUGCUAUUUAUGAUCCUAGACCAGUGCAUAGGAAGAAUUCUUCAAAAAAUGAACAAAACUUGAGAAACAUGGUACUUAACUGGCAGGGAAAAUCAAAGUGGCCUGUGCUACAAAUGUAUGAAUCAGCCAACAUAAGAGCCUUAGCAGCUGACCAUGACUACAUGGAGCUGACAAUGGAGGAUCACUUUCUCAAGACUGAAAAGGUAUCCUGUAUUUCAAAGGCUGAAAUCUAUGAAAUUGAGCAGCAAACCAAAUACCAAAGUGCAUGUGACAGGUGGACAACAGAAAGACGAAAACGAAUUACAUCUUCUAAUUUUGGAAAUAUAUGCAAGGCCACUAUA
Molecule: long non-coding RNA, 850 nt
Organism: Patella vulgata (common limpet)
Lineage: Eukaryota; Metazoa; Mollusca; Gastropoda; Patellidae
Exons: 5
Source: RefSeq, a predicted model, not a curated record